RNAcentral lists this long non-coding RNA (375 nucleotides) under Mytilus galloprovincialis (Mediterranean mussel). Lineage: Eukaryota; Metazoa; Mollusca; Bivalvia; Mytilida; Mytilidae. The record is from RNAcentral.
UGGCGGAUUCGGGGGUGAGGGCGAAUAGGUCUUUCAGUCACCCUUGGAUUGGACAAAGUAUCGUGCUUUAGCAUAAUAUCGUCAAUAUUGUUUUUAUACUCGCUUCACUCUGUGAUUUUUUUUUAAUUUUAUAGAGUAACACUCCUUUUUAUAUCGAGGAACCGCCCCUGAAGGUUAAAAAAGAUUUCAACUGUGAAGUAUAUCUGAGGUAGUUAAUGCACACCUUUGCUGUGCAUUAUCCAGAUUAUAGCACAGUAAGAACAAAGAGAUUUUAUCCAUGUCAUGUGUUAACUGUAUUAUUACGUAUAUGUUAUAACAUAUUUUUAAGAAAUAACUCCGUAUUUAUUAAAUAGGUAGUCCGAAUACUUUCUAUAU